Molecule: non-coding RNA, 847 nt
Organism: Paramuricea clavata
Lineage: Eukaryota; Metazoa; Cnidaria; Anthozoa; Malacalcyonacea; Plexauridae
Source: the annotation of a GenBank genome assembly
AGAGAAAUCGAUAGCCGUCCGGUUAAUAGGACCAUCAAGUUCCAAUGGUACUGGUCGUGUGGAAGUAUUCUACAAUGGACAAUGGGGAACAAUAUGUCAUGAUUAUUGGAAUAUAAAUAUUGCUAAGGUUGUGUGUCGUCAAGUUGGUUUUCCAUAUGCAAUUAAAGCUCUUCGAGGGUAUCAAGUUCCUGAUGGAACUGGGAAGAUAUGGCUAGAUAAUGUCAUAUGUACUGGAAAUGAACAAAGUCUAAUCAAUUGUUCUCACAACGGAUGGGGAAAUCAUAAUUGUGGCCAUUAUCAGGACGCAGGGGUAGAAUGUUCUCGAGGUAAAAUGAUAGUAUCAAUACCAUAAGUGCAUGUAAUGAUAACUUAUAAACUCGGGUGUCGCUUUGUAAAAUGGAAAAAUUCAUCUCCCACCAACUGUGAAUAAUUUUAGUAUUGCAUUUGCACAAAUGAAAACAUGAUUUAAUGCAUCAUGUACUGUUUAAUAAACGAGCAGGAGUGUUUUAUUAGGUUUAAAGCCACGAGCGCGCAGCGCAACUGGCUUUAGAUCUAAUAAAACACGACCUGCGAGUUUAUUAAACGGCUUCAAACACACGACUACAAAUUCAAUAGAUAUACUGCCUUAUUAGUUAUUGUUAUUGUAUUUUAAUUUCACAUCCCUUAAAAGGCUUUUCAGCGAAAUUUUACAUAAUUGAUCUAAAUUUUAUACACUGUAGUAAUAGAGAGACACACAUAACAACACACAGUCACACAACACACACACACACACACACACACACACACACACUUGGUAAUACUACACAAAUAUAUAUGCUAUUUACAUCAAAAUGUCUUAAGAUUGGUC